GGGGAAUUUUCCGCAAUGGGCGAAAGCCUGACGGAGCAAGACCGCGUGGGGGAUGAAGGUUUGUGGAUUGUAAACCCCUUUUGAUUGGGAAGAAUACUGACGGUACCAAUCGAAUAAGCCUCGGCUAACUCCGUGCCAGCAGCCGCGGUAAUACGGAGGAGGCAAGCGUUAUCCGGAAUUAUUGGGCGUAAAGCGUCCGUAGGUGGUUUAGUAAGUCUGCUGUUAAAGCGCGGGGCUUAACUCCGNUAUCGGCAGUGGAAACUACUAGACUAGAGUGUGGUAGGGGUAGAGGGAAUUCCCAGUGUAGCGGUGAAAUGCGUAGAUAUUGGGAAGAACACCGGUGGCGAAAGCGCUCUACUGGGCCAUAACUGACACUGAUGGACGAAAGCUAGGGGAGCGAAAGGGAUUAGAUACCCCUGUAGUC
Molecule: ribosomal RNA, 424 nt
Filed under: uncultured cyanobacterium
Lineage: Bacteria; Bacillati; Cyanobacteriota
Description: bacterial SSU rRNA
Rfam family: Bacterial small subunit ribosomal RNA
Source: RNAcentral